This 782-nucleotide ribosomal RNA is filed under the name uncultured bacterium. Its description in RNAcentral is "bacterial SSU rRNA". It matches the Rfam family "Bacterial small subunit ribosomal RNA", at positions 561 to 1344 of the family's 1533-position model. The record is from RNAcentral.
UAAAGGGCGCGUAGGCGGGUCAUCAAGUCAGCGGUAAAAUCGCGGAGCUCAACUCCAACCAGCCGUUGAAACUGAUGAUCUUGAGUGGGCGAGAAGUAUGCGGAAUGCGUGGUGUAGCGGUGAAAUGCAUAGAUAUCACGCAGAACUCCGAUUGCGAAGGCAGCAUACCGGCGCCCGACUGACGCUGAAGCACGAAAGCGUGGGUAUCGAACAGGAUUAGAUACCCUGGUAGUCCACGCAGUAAACGAUGAAUACUAAUUGUGUGCUCCGAAUGAGGAGUGCGUGAUACAGCGAAAGCGUUAAGUAUUCCACCUGGGGAGUACGCCGGCAACGGUGAAACUCAAAGGAAUUGACGGGGGCCCGCACAAGCGGAGGAACAUGUGGUUUAAUUCGAUGAUACGCGAGGAACCUUACCCGGGCUCAAACGCAGGAGGGAUGUUUUUGAAAGGAGGCAGCUCUACGGAGUCUCCUGCGAGGUGCUGCAUGGUUGUCGUCAGCUCGUGCCGUGAGGUGUCGGCUUAAGUGCCAUAACGAGCGCAACCCCUACCGCCAGUUGCCAACGGGUAAAGCCGGGAACUCUGGCGGGACUGCCGGCGCAAGCUGUGAGGAAGGCGGGGAUGACGUCAAAUCAGCACGGCCCUUACGUACGGGGCGACACACGUGUUACAAUGGCAGGUACAGCGGGAAGCCACUUGGCGACAAGGCGCGGAACCCGAAAACCUGUCUCAGUUCGGAUUGGAGUCUGCAACCCGACUCCAUGAAGCUGGAUUCGCUAGUAAUCG